This 837-nucleotide ribosomal RNA is filed under the name Paenibacillus sp. RNAcentral's name for it is "bacterial SSU rRNA". It matches the Rfam family "Bacterial small subunit ribosomal RNA", at positions 108 to 927 of the family's 1533-position model. Lineage: Bacteria; Bacillati; Bacillota; Bacilli; Caryophanales; Paenibacillaceae. The record is from RNAcentral.
GAGUAACACGUGGGCAACCUGCCCGCAAGACCGGGAUAACUCCGGGAAACCGGAGCUAAUACCGGAUAACACCGAAGACCGCAUGGUCUUUGGUUGAAAGGCGGCCUUUGGCUGUCACUUGCGGAUGGGCCCGCGGCGCAUUAGCUAGUUGGUGAGGUAACGGCUCACCAAGGCGACGAUGCGUAGCCGGCCUGAGAGGGUGACCGGCCACACUGGGACUGAGACACGGCCCAGACUCCUACGGGAGGCAGCAGUAGGGAAUCUUCCGCAAUGGGCGAAAGCCUGACGGAGCGACGCCGCGUGAGCGAAGAAGGCCUUCGGGUCGUAAAGCUCUGUUGUGAGGGACGAAGGAGCGCCGUUCGAAGAGGGCGGCGCGGUGACGGUACCUCACGAGGAAGCCCCGGCUAACUACGUGCCAGCAGCCGCGGUAAUACGUAGGGGGCGAGCGUUGUCCGGAAUUAUUGGGCGUAAAGCGCGCGCAGGCGGUUCCUUAAGUCUGAUGUGAAAGCCCACGGCUCAACCGUGGAGGGUCAUUGGAAACUGGGGGACUUGAGUGCAGGAAAGGAGAGCGGAAUUCCACGUGUAGCGGUGAAAUGCGUAGAGAUGUGAAGGAACACCAGUGGCGAAGGCGGCUCUCUGGCCUGCAACUGACUCUCAGGCGCGAAAGCGUGGGGAACAAACGGGAUUAGAUACCCUGCUAGUCCACGCCGUAAACGAUGAGUGCUGGUUGUUAGAGGGGUCACAGCCUUUGAGUGCUGCAACUAACGCAAUAAACGCUCCGGGUGGCUAUUACGGCCUGGAAGGCUAAAGUCGGACGUAUUUGAGGGGGGCCCCGCA